RNAcentral lists this long non-coding RNA (5400 nucleotides) under Bemisia tabaci. RNAcentral's name for it is "lncRNA ENSSSA1NGG010234". The record is from RNAcentral. Lineage: Eukaryota; Metazoa; Arthropoda; Insecta; Hemiptera; Aleyrodidae.
CCGUGAAUGUUGUGUGAAUUUGAUCGUACUAUUUUAUAAUUACUGGUAUUACCAAUUUGAUCGAUCUCUCAAGUAAGUCGAUAAUUUCAGAAUAUUUCAAUGUAUAGGUAGCAGGAACUUUAAGAACUUUCCAGUUUACGUAAUGGAGCUUAUCUAUACGGCUCUCACAUUAGAGCAGAUAAGCUAUUCGUGUUCCAUCCUUACUAUGUUUCACUAUUUGCAAGAGUUGUUAUUUAAUUGCAGUGCAGUGUCAAAAAAAUCCUCCGUUGAAUAUUCCUUUAUAAAUAUUAUGGGACCCAUGGUGAAUGUUUCCUAGAAGAUAGCAGAAAAUAUGGGUAGAGACGAUUCUGUUUUUCUUAACAACUUCAAAAAUGCUUUCAGGAAGGCAGAUAUCUUAAUCAAUGGCACACGCCCGUGGGAUUUUAAGAUUGUUUUGCAAGCAGAACUUUCACCAGCCCCCCAAAAUGACAUCGGCACUGCCGACUACGGCCCGCCUCACGACUUCGGGACCCCCGAAACAACAGGCUAUCGUCCACCUCCUCCGCCUCAGUUCAUGGUUUCACAAGAUAUGGUCAACCAAUCACUACCACCUCCACCUCCAGACAUGAGACCUCCAGACGAUCCAUCAUCGGAUUCACCAAUGGGCCCUCCACCGGACGCUAUGAUGGCACAAUCCAUGGGACCUCCGAUCGAUGCCAUGUCAGGUCAAUCAAUGGGAGCUCCGUUUGCUGCCAUGAUGGGUCAAUCAAUGGGACCACCCCGGGCCCGCCAAGAGGUCCACCACGAGGUCCACCCGGAAGACCACCUCCAGGAGGUUUCCGCCCUGGGCGUGGCCCUCCAACUCCGCCCGGUAUGCAAUUUACCGGGGUUUCCAAGAUUCCUCUGAGUUCCCAGGGGAAGAUGCGAACGGGGGUUUUUCGGGACCUCCACCACCGAUGGACUUUCAAGGGGGCCAGUUUCGAGGUGGGUUUCCCGGAGACCAACCCAACGGCCGUAUACCUCAUGGACCAGGCGGGAAAAUGUUCAUGGGCCCCUCAAGACCCGGGCACAAACUAGGCGCGGGCUCCGGAAUGGGGUCCGCAUUUCGAGGUAGAAACCGAUACAGGCCGAUGGGUCCCCCACCAGAUCGUCCCGGGGGGCGUAGGUUUGGGGUGGUGGAAGGGGAAGGUUUCGGGGCUUUUGAAGUUAGUUAGCCAGAAUAAAUAUAGUAUAUUUUUUUGAAAAUUGAUUUUGAGUUGUGAACUGCCUCCUGUCAUGAGUUUUGAAGUAUCUGUUGAGUUCUUGUUAGUCAUCACUGGAGACCACUAAAGUUUGGCAAAAAAGUCUUCCUACAAGAAUUUCUUACUGUUAGUGAUAGAAGUUUGAAUAUUUUCCUGUUCUCUUAAUACUUCACUUCAUAUUAUACUUGCUUAACCAAUCACCUUAUAUUUUAUCUAACGUUUUAUUUUCCCAGUAUUAUGUCCCUUGGUAUGGCAACGAUUGUGAAAAAGUAAUCCUCAAAAACCUUUAGGAAGGUGUAAAAAGUGAAGAGGAAAAUCUAUCCAGGAAAAGAAAUUUUUCGAAUAAAAUUAAAUAUUCAUAUUUAUGUGAAACAGCAAUCCCCUUCAAAAAUAUUUAAACAUCUUUGUAGGCGUUGAAAACUACAAUUAACUUCUUUAAAUUUUUGCAAGACUUUAUUUCACUAGUUACAUUUAAUAUUUCCUUGUGUACACGGUAAAAAAAUUUGCAGCGAUAUCCGCAUCCCGCAAUUUUCAGCAGCUGGAGCCGAGAUUUGCGGUCCCUGCUUCCGAAUAUUUGCAGAAUUGUUGAAUGCUCGGUAGAACUAUGCUGGGCUUUCGGCAGUUCUGACAAUUUCGGUAGCCGGGACCGCAAAUCUCAGCUCCAGCUGCCAAAAAUUUCCUAGGUGCGGAUAUAGCCGCAAAAUUUUUUACCGUGAUACCUCUUAAAAUAUUUUCCCACCUCCAUUCUGAAUAGUUCUCUGUUCACCUAUCUACAGAGGUAUAUGUAUCCCAAGAGAUAAGUUUCGUUUAACGUGCACAACACUCAUACAAUUACUUCGCACAAACUGCUCACGUUCUUGAUACGGCAGAGCUUCGGGGAAUAUUAUCGCUGAAGCCAAACGAUCGAGUUGAUCACGACGGCUAGACUGUAUGAUGCAGAGAGGAAAAUGCAUUGCAAUAUUGCUAUACUUGGAUAAAGCUUCGUCAGUAAUAAAUGAAUAUAAAGUAGAUCAAUAAAUGGAAUAAAUGGAUUCGUAGCUUUCUCAAUUUAUUCACAUUUUUGUAUAGCGUACAAAACUGGUUAAAUUUUUAGGUUUUGCUUGCAAGAUACGAGAGAUGGCACUAUCUUAAUGGUAUUGCAGUGCUAUUGGUUCUUUUUUGCUAAAUGCAGUUUCAUUGAUUGCAUCCAUCAUUUUAUCAUCAACAAUAAAUUGAUCAGCGACUAAUGAGAAUCAGGGCGAAGAAGGCUGCCAGUGUGGCUGGCCUGAUGCCCGCUGUCACAGCUCCGCACAGUGGAACGUGUCAAAGCAAAAAAUUAGACAUGGUGUGAAAAUUUUAAAAGCGUAUACCUUCAUGAACACAAAACUUAGAAGCUUAGAGGUGAUUCUACUGGUUUUCUUAAGGAUUUUCCUUGAAGAGGCUAUAUUUAAAAUUUAUAUUGUGAUAAAAUACACAUCAAAAUAUACAGAUUUAAUUGAAAUUGUAUGUCCGACCUCUCUGGAUGGCUUGUUCAACUGUGCGCCGCUGCGAUUUCUGCCUUAGCAACGAUGAGUCGUGGCCAUUUAAAUUCAAGGUAGGCGAUACACCACCCCUCCUCUUCCUAAACCAUUCAUGUUCGCCGGCGUCCACUCCGGUAGAGGCGAAUUUUCUCACAAGUUUCUCACGCCUGUCACACCGACACUAGUGAUUUCCUACCGCUGCCAAUGAAUCCACGGAAAUGAUCCGGUAACUACUCAAAAGGUGCGUUGUAAAAUUAGCUGUACAGUUACUUUCCGAAAAUUUUCUUAAUUUUUUUACAUGUUUUCAUCUAAACGUUUUUGAAAAUCGUCGAAAGGUUUUUCUCAAAUUCCAGAAAGGAAAAUUGACAUGAGAAAAUGUCCCUACUACGUAUCAAAAUGCCUCAGCAACUGAGUUCGUAAUAUUGUUAACAAUUUUUUUUUCACGGGGGCAAUUUCGGAAGAAAAGAUUGAGAGAAAAUGUGUUCCCUUUUACCAUCAUAAGGGGCAUUUCUCAUGUAAGAACUUGUAUUUAUGACAUAGAUCAUCCAAGAAUUGUUGAAUGUACAAGCUAGGGAUAUUCGUGUGCUGAAUUAAUUCGGUAGUUUCUUAUAUAAAUAAAUGAAAUCUAUCGAAUUAUAAACACCUGGAACUUCUCAAUUAAAUUUUGUAGCUUAUUGAAGUAAGAAUCCCAUAUUGGCCUCAUUUGAGUUUUGAAAUAAUCCUUAGACGUAGGUGUACGGGAAUAAAAUGAUAUAUUCACUCAGAAACUUAAAUUUUAUCUUAUAAAAAUGUGUUUAUUUUCUCUUUAAAAAUGGUAAGUGAGUCAACCACACUGUGAAUCUCAGGAAUUGUUUCCCCUUCAUAGGAUGAUAGUCUCUAUGUAACGUUAACAUUGCAUUUCUUGCCACCAGAGGAUUUUCGACGAGUUUAUUUGAGGUGAGAAAAAAUAUUGUUCUUUCAAAGUGCUUUCAAAAAUGCUCAAAACAAUGGCGUAUACAAGGGGGGGGGGACAGGAGGUCUGAACCCUCCCCCCCCCCAUAGCCUCGUUAAUCGUACUUUUUUUUUGGAGGGCAGACAUAAAAUAUUAUCAGGGACGUACACAAAAUAAUGUAAAUUUACCCCCCCCCCCCUUAAAGAAUUCCUAGUCACGCCACAAGGGAGAAAUACGUGAUCAUUUCUUCUGACGAUUUCAAAAAUAAAGCCCAAAAAACCAAAAAAUUUACACGUGCUCUUGACGUUAAACCUUUCACUACUAUAAUGUACAAUUUUUUCAAUUACUUAUAAUUCUCAUUUUAAAUUUGAAAUUACUGUAAAAGGUAUUCUGGCAAAGCACAAAAAUCCACUGUCCGCAUCUAAAAAGCUGGAAAAAUAUUGUGUGAUUAGAAUAGGGAUUAAAAUAAUUUUACUUUCGCCUUUUUUCGCUUUUCGCUCAGGCGUGGACAAGAAAAUGAUUUUCAAAGAGAGUAUUUGCCAUCUUUCAGACUUUAAUAAAAUUAUACAUUUUUUUUAAAGUUUGCUAUGAUACUACGCACAUAGUCAAAAGCAUUGAUUUGCUGUACAUGAGGAGGGAGGGAGGGCGAAUUGUUUCCGUCCGGAAAUCAGCGAACAAAAGUUUUUAAUCAGCAAGUAAUCAGCAAUGCAGCCGAGGGAGUUCUCUCUGUAGUCAUUAGACGCUAUAGUACUUAACGUUCGACCUCUUAACCUCCUGCAGGGCCCAUAGUGCGCCCAACUGUGAAUCACUCAAUGAACAAAACAAUUUUCAUAUCCUAACCGAGGACUUUGUAGAGAGCACGCUAGGUAACUCUAACAUCCUGAUGGGCUCAUUAUUGCUUUUCUUUGUUUUUAAGCGAUUUGUCGAGUACCUCUUCAUAGUUCAUGGUUGAUCCCAAAAAUGAUCUCCGGUAGAGGAGAUCAUUCACUUUUUUCUAGAAAUCUGACUAUAUUAAGCGGCUACUUAGGUUCACAAUAUUUUAGGGAAAGUGCAGGGACAUUUUAAGUACCAGUUCUACUCGUGGACUCCCUUCCUCUUACUAUACAAAUAAAUUUAAAGGUGAGAGAGACACUAACGUAAACUCCAAAUUAUCUCCCAAAGAAGUCAAGAAUUUUAUUUGACCUAUCUGCAAACCGGAUCUUUCAGAAAAUUAAAAAAAAUCGUUGAACACAUAUGCGCUUAAAGUCAUUGAUGUAAAUACAUAUUCUUUAGAUAGGCAGUUCAUCUAUUUUUCUAUGUGAACAUUGCCAUAGUGUGCGAAUAACUGUAUUUUCUAUUUAUGCAUGGUCCUGUCUGUUUGAAAUUCGUGAUGGACAUGGAGAUGAGGAAAAAAAUAAUUUCUUGUGGAUUAUUCAUGCUAAGAUGAGUUCAUUCAGGGAAGGUUCACGAAAAGUUUAUUCAUCUGAAUUUCGGUUCAUUACAAUACAAAUUUACCGCAAUCCCUAUUUUCGUUUUAAUUGGUCAAAUACCGAUUUGACCAUUCACACCGCAAAGGCAUUAAUGUCGUCUGAAUCUUUCCUUUUGGAUUUAAAGUGACUGUGAUUAUUCGAAAAAACGUGCAUAAAUAACAUAUUUGUGAUAACAUCUGUACUAAAGUAACUUAAGAAUAUUAAUGAUAGUUCGAAUAUAUAUAUAUAUAUAUAUCGAGCCGCUACCUUAGCGCACUAGAGCGCUCUGCGACUCCAAAUCG